RNAcentral lists this ribosomal RNA (946 nucleotides) under uncultured Bacillota bacterium. RNAcentral's name for it is "bacterial SSU rRNA". It matches the Rfam family "Bacterial small subunit ribosomal RNA", at positions 1 to 917 of the family's 1533-position model. The record is from RNAcentral. Lineage: Bacteria; Bacillati; Bacillota.
UCCAGACUUUGAUUAUGGCUCAGGAUGAACGCUGGCCCCGUGCCUAAUACAUGCAAGUCGAACGAAACUUCUUUAUCACCGAGUGCUUGCACUCACCGAUAAAGAGUUGAGUGGCGAACGGGUGAGUAACACGUGGGCAACCUGCCCAAAAGAGGGGGAUAACACUUGGAAACAGGUGCUAAUACCGCAUAACCAUAGUUACCGCAUGGUAACUAUGUAAAAGGUGGCUAUGCUACCGCUUUUGGAUGGGCCCGCGGCGCAUUAGCUAGUUGGUGGGGUAAAGGCUUACCAAGGCAAUGAUGCGUAGCCGAACUGAGAGGUUGAUCGGCCACAUUGGGACUGAGACACGGCCCAAACUCCUACGGGAGGCAGCAGUAGGGAAUCUUCCACAAUGGGCGAAAGCCUGAUGGAGCAACGCCGCGUGGGUGAAGAAGGUCUUCGGAUCGUAAAACCCUGUUGUUAGAGAAGAAAGUGCGUGAGAGUAACUGUUCACGUUUCGACGGUAUCUAACCAGAAAGCCACGGCUAACUACGUGCCAGCAGCCGCGGUAAUACGUAGGUGGCAAGCGUUAUCCGGAUUUAUUGGGCGUAAAGGGAACGCAGGCGGUCUUUUAAGUCUGAUGUGAAAGCCUUCGGCUUAACCGGAGUAGUGCAUUGGAAACUGGGAGACUUGAGUGCAGAAGAGGAGAGUGGAACUCCAUGUGUAGCGGUGAAAUGCGUAGAUAUAUGGAAGAACACCGGUGGCGAAAGCGGCUCUCUGGUCUGUAACUGACGCUGAGGUUCGAAAGCGUGGGUAGCAAACAGGAUUAGAUACCCUGGUAGUCCACGCCGUAAACGAUGAAUGCUAAGUGUUGGAGGGUUUCCGCCCUUCAGUGCUGCAGCUAACGCAAUAAGCAUUCCGCCUGGGGAGUACGACCGCAAGGUUGCAACUCAAAGGAAUUGACGGA